This 250-nucleotide ribosomal RNA is filed under the name uncultured prokaryote. RNAcentral's name for it is "partial 16S ribosomal RNA". It matches the Rfam family "Bacterial small subunit ribosomal RNA", at positions 524 to 773 of the family's 1533-position model. The record is from RNAcentral.
UACGUAGGUGGCAAGCGUUGUCCGGAUUUACUGGGUGUAAAGGGUGCGCAGGCGGAAUUGCAAGUUGGAUGUGAAAUACCGAAGCUUAACUUCGGAGCUGCAUCCAAAACUGUGGUUCUUGAGUGGAGUAGAGGUAAGCGGAAUUCCGAGUGUAGCGGUGAAAUGCGUAGAUAUUCGGAGGAACACCAGUGGCGAAGGCGGCUUACUGGGCUCUAACUGACGCUGAGGCACGAAAGCAUGGGUAGCAAAC